This is a non-coding RNA of Fukomys damarensis (Damara mole-rat), 386 nucleotides long. The record is from the annotation of a RefSeq genome assembly. Lineage: Eukaryota; Metazoa; Chordata; Mammalia; Rodentia; Bathyergidae.
GUGUCCAGUCUGACGUGCAGCUGGUGGAGUCCGGGGGAGGCUUGGUGAAGCCUGGGGAGUCCCUGAAACUCUCCUGCAUGGCCUCGGGAUUCACCUUCAGUAACUAUGCCAUGCACUGGGUCCGUCAGGCUCCAGGGAAGGGGCUGGAGUGGAUCUCAGCCAUCAGUUAUAACAGUGGUAGCACAUACUACGCGGACUCCGUAAAGGGCCGAUUCACCAUCUCCAGAGAAAAUGACAGGAACACGCUGUAUCUGCAAAUGAAAAACCUGCGAACCGAGGACACGGCCCUGUAUUACUGUGCAAAAGACACAGUGAGGGGACCUCAGUGCGAGCUCAGACAAAAACCUCCCUGCAGGGGCGCGAGAGCCCAGCAGGGGCCGCUGUGA